GGUGCGACUAAAGCCAUGCGAGUCGAAUGUAGCAAUACGUGGCGUACGCUCAGUAACACGUGGACAACCUCACGUGGACAACCUCCCUUGGGUCGGGGAUAAACCCGGGAAACUGGGUAUAAUACCCGAUAGAUGUGAGAAGCUGGAAUGCUCCCAUGUCGAAAGCUCCGGCACCCAAGGAUGGGUCUGCGGCCUAUCAGGUAGUAGUGGGUGUAGCGUACCUACUAGCCUACGACGGGUACGGGUUGUGAGAGCAAGAGCCCGGAGAUGGAUUCUGAGACACGAAUCCAGGCCCUACGGGGUGCAGCAGGCGAAAACUUUACAAUGCCGGCAACGGCGAUAAGGGAACCUCGAGUGCCAAGUUACAAAUCUGGCUGUCGCGAUGCCUAAAAAGCAUUGCAUAGCAAAGGACCGGGCAAGACCGGUGCCAGCCGCCGCGCCUAACACCGGCCGCUCGAGUGGUAACCGUUAUCAUGGGGUCUAAGGGUCUGUAACCGGCCUGAUAAAUCUCUGGGAAAAUCCAGCAGCUCCAACUGCUGGGCCCUUCUAGAAGGUAACGGUCUGCCAGCCAGGAAAGGUUGAAAAGG
RNAcentral lists this ribosomal RNA (587 nucleotides) under uncultured euryarchaeote. RNAcentral's name for it is "bacterial SSU rRNA". It matches the Rfam family "Archaeal small subunit ribosomal RNA", at positions 37 to 615 of the family's 1478-position model. The record is from RNAcentral. Lineage: Archaea; Methanobacteriati; Methanobacteriota.